ACAGCGGUAACUUGGUUGGGUGUUCUUCUCUGCUGUGUAGGCUUUGUUCUUUUGCUCUUUGCAGUAAAUGUUGCUGCUGCUGACUGUUGGGUCCCAGCCGUCUUUAAAAGCUAUUACACUCACGGUGAAGGUCUGUGGUUUCACUCCUGAAAUCAAGCGAGUGUACGAACCCACCGGAAGGAAGAAACUCCAGACUCCGAAGGAACAAACUCUGGACACACCAAAUGUAAGAAUUGUAACACUCACCGCGACGGUCCGUGGCGUCCACCCUCGCAGCUUCUUUCUUGAAGUCGCCGAGACCAAGAGCGCACCGAAAGGAACCAAUUGUGGACACAUCCGUUUUAGUGGAAUAAUAGUCCUUGGUUCUCUGGACAACCGGGAGAAUUGCAUUUUCUGAGGCCCACGAUAAGCACCCAACCGUUAAUAUUUCCAUGCUUCUCUGUCCAUCCCAUGGAGCCUGGGGCUUGAGGGACUGUGCAGUGAGGCAGCAACUCACAUCUCCAGCUGUUGGACUGGUCCUGCCAGCGACGUCUGCUCAGUAGAACAAGCAGCACUUCCCCCAGCUCAGCACUGUCUCAUUUCUGAGACUGAACACCCCGUGGUCACUCUACAUGGAUGGGUUAAUUUCCCUUGGAAAAGUAUUGAUGAUCAAGUGAUGCUAGCAGCAACAGUGUUAAAGGCUUUAACGCUUUUAAAGUGCCAUCCACGGAAAAGGCCUAUAAACAAUGACCAACCCAUUAAUAGUGAGCACCCAGAUUAAGAGCUCUAAAUACCAUUUCCCACAUAGAAACCUCAGAGAAAUGGCUAAUUUCAGGACUGAGGCAGGAAAAAUACAAGGGAAUUCAAUAGAUACCUAACACCACGAGAGUGCAACCAGCAAAAUACAGAUUUUUGGAAGUUCUGUAGGAUGAAGGCCCUUGUGUCCUCAAUACGCAACUGCAAGGAAAAAAGAAGAUAGAAGGAUAAUGUAUUGAUUAAAAGACACUUAAGAGACAUAAUAGCCAUUUAAAAUAUAAAUAAAAAUAAUUGCCCUCACAA
Molecule: long non-coding RNA, 1038 nt
Organism: Homo sapiens (human)
Lineage: Eukaryota; Metazoa; Chordata; Mammalia; Primates; Hominidae
Product: long intergenic non-protein coding RNA 2096
Source: Ensembl